GGUUUUUGCAUAGAUAUAUUAUUAUAUCAAUGAGAUAUUUCAAGUUUUCUGUUGUUUUUGAGCAAAAAUCUUAAUAUUUCCCUCGAACAUUACUUGUUUUACAACGCGGAGCGAGGGUGCGGGUUUGCUUCGCUUGUGGAUGCAGCAUUUCACUACAAAGAAAGAUUAAUUCUUUCAGGUAAGAUUCACGAAACUUUUUUUAUAACUUUCUAGACGGCUAGAGUCACUAUAGACCUUCAUAUUAUGUCAAAAACUCAUCAUCCUAAUAUAUGCUGCAAAUAUUUCAAUAGGGGACAUAAAAUAUUGUUAACAUUAUGUUGUUUUGUGUCAGCACUGGCCUUUGUGGUUUGCCAGUUUUUAAUUUAUACUAAAAAUUGUGGUUGUUUACUUGUUUACAUGUUCAUAUACAGAGGUUCAUAUAUUUUAAACGAAUAUAUAUGGUGUGAAAUUUAUAUACUUGCCCAUCACAGUGCAGAAUUAGUAUAUAUAGAUAAGCACAAGACCAGAGAGAGUUGAGCCAUAGAGGAGGCCCACCUACAUGUGACAAUGCAUGUGCCCUGUCCUGAUGAGCCCUAAAGACUGUAUUAUUUUACUCUGUCUAAUGCCAAACAAUUUUAAGGGGAUUGAGAUUGCUCCCUGCUGCCACGCAGUGAGUUAAUUACACUAUUUGCAAAUGAGCAGCCCCUGAGAUAUACAGGGUGUCCCCAAAAAACCCGGAAACUAUAGAAAUCACUUAUUGUUAAAUUUGAAUGCCCUACCAAACAGCUGGACGUAAUGAUGCAUAAAAUAUUGACAAGGUGCAUGUAUUAGAAUUUAGUUAGGAAUAUCUCCUAGUAAAGUGCGCGAUUUUCUGCUCCUGGGAAUUAAAAACAGCUUCUUAAACAGUUUCUUUAUGCAUAAAAUUUACUUCUGUCAAUCAUUUAUGCACUCGUGGGAACCAACAGAGCGCUAAGGCAUUCAAAUUCUAACAAUUAAAUUGUUAUUGGUGAUUUCAAUAGUUUCCGUUUUUUUUGGGACACCCUGUAUAGUCAGCCCAUUAAGCUGCAAUUAAUCCUGGCUACUUUCUUAUUUCACUCAAUCUGUGAGAUUAAAUCCAGAUGUUUUACUCAAUACUCAUCAAGGGAAGAGUCUUAAAAAUAGAUAUCAUUUUGCCAUUGUCUGUUCAGAACUAUAUAAAACUAUAUAGUUUUACAUGUACAGUAUAUGUCAUAGUUACAUGGCAAGAACAAAAAUGUUGCCCACAAGCUGCCGGGACUUAAGUGAGUCAAUGAUACACUAAUCAUUUAGAUCAUGAGGUAAAUUCGGCAUGCCACAACAUGUCUAACAAGGGCAGAUUUUUAUUUAUUUCACCACUCAGUGAACUUUGGCAUGGAUUAGGUGUUUGAGUUGUUGGCCUUUCACACAAAAUAGGAGGGUUGAGGCAGAUUUUGGUGGGGUUGAACACUUUAUUAGAGGGGUUUAACCCCCCCCCCCAAGUAAACCCGCCCCUAAUUUCUAACAUUGGGAGUAGUGAUGUCCGAUUGGCCAUGGCACGGCCUGUGAGAAAUUAUGAUGAAAUUUGCUCAUAAUAGUUAAGUUUGACAUAUUUUAGCAGUUAGUCAGGAAUGUGAUUGCAUUCAGCUGAAACAUGACACUUAAUGUUGAAGCUUGGAUCAAUGGUCUUGGUAAAAACAGAUCAUGUAAUUGCACUCUCCCCUUGACUACUAAAAUUGUCUGUUAAAAUAAUACAGUGAGGCAUAUCAAGAGACAUUGCCACUUGUGAAGGGUUAACAUAUGUGUAUAUGAUAUUUUUAUGAUGUAAAGAUGUAUAAUGUAUCAUGAUAAAAAUGUCAUCUUUUAUUUUGCAGAAAUUAUAUGUUUAAUAUACACAAGAGAUGGCACUGAGGCAUCAACAUGCAAUACCAUGCAUAACAACAUAUAUAAUUAUAUGAUUAUGA
This 1937-nucleotide long non-coding RNA is filed under the name Paramuricea clavata. The record is from RNAcentral. Lineage: Eukaryota; Metazoa; Cnidaria; Anthozoa; Malacalcyonacea; Plexauridae.